This 800-nucleotide ribosomal RNA is filed under the name uncultured bacterium. RNAcentral's name for it is "bacterial SSU rRNA". It matches the Rfam family "Bacterial small subunit ribosomal RNA", at positions 8 to 807 of the family's 1533-position model. The record is from RNAcentral.
AGAGUUUGAUCCUGGCUCAGGAUGAACGCUGGCGGCGUGCUUAACACAUGCAAGUCGAACGGAGUUAGAUUGGUGCUUGCACCGAGAAACUUAGUGGCGGACGGGUGAGUAACGCGUGGGCAACCUGCCUCAUACAGGGGAAUAACAGUUGGAAACAGCUGCUAAAACCGCAUAAGCGCACACUGUUGCAUGACAGAGUGUGAAAAACUCCGGUGGUAUGAGAUGGACCCGCGUCUGAUUAGCUAGUUGGUGAGGUAAAGGCCCACCAAGGCGACGAUCAGUAGCCGGCCUGAGAGGGUGAACGGCCACAUUGGGACUGAGACACGGCCCAAACUCCUACGGGAGGCAGCAGUGGGGAAUAUUGCACAAUGGGGGAAACCCUGAUGCAGCGACGCCGCGUGAGUGAAGAAGUACUUCGGUAUGUAAAGCUCUAUCAGCAGGGAAGAAAAAAGACGGUACCUGAAUAAGAAGCACCGGCUAAAUACGUGCCAGCAGCCGCGGUAAUACGUAUGGUGCAAGCGUUAUCCGGAUUACUGGGUGUAAAGGGUGCGUAGGUGGUACAACAAGUCAGAAGUGAAAAUCCCGGGGCUCAACCCCCGGGAAGUGGCUUUUUGAAACUGGCCGGACUAGAGUGCAGGAAGAGGGAAGCGGAAUUUCCUAGUGUAGCGGUGAAAUGCGUAGAUUUUAGGGAGGAAACACCAGUGGCGAAGGGGGCUUUCUGGGAUUGAAACUUGACACUGAGGCACGAAAAGCGUGGGGAGCAGACAGGUUAGAUACCCCUGGUAGCCCACGUCGUUAAA